AGGAUAAGAAUACUCAUAGCAUUAGACUUUCGUCUAUUAAAUUAAAAUCUAGUUUAGAAACAGACGAUUGAAAGUAAGUUGUAAGGCUUUAUGUAAAUAUUGGAGUCCCUUUCCAAAAUAAAUUACACUGACAUUUGGUUAGAUAUUUUUAUUUCCAAGUUUGUAGGCAAUGCCAACCUUAGGAGAACGUAUAGUCAUUAUUAAGAAACAAUUGGUAUAUUCAUUAAAAAAAAUAUUGAGUAAUAUUUAAAAUGAUUAGAGGAGAAUGUAAAAUUAUUGGAGUUUGUUGUAGUAUUUAGAGCAUAGAGGGUGCACCGUUGAAAUUUGAAAUUUGAAAAAAUGUCUCCAUCAUUACAAAAAUAAAUUAAACUUAGCAGGGUAUGAUAUUUAAGUGCUUCUAGCUUGUAGGUAAUUGUUCAGGAAUGCUAUUGUGAUAAUAAACUCGCUAAUACGAAUAUAACCAAAUCGUUAUACGGAAACAAACUUCACGUGCACCUUCAUUUAACUGUUGUAAUCACUUUCACACGUGAAUUAUUGUAACUUUUGUUACGCUUUCUUGUUUACGUCAUUCAAAAAUGUUUUAUUUUCAAUAGAUAUCACAUAAAUAAUCCUUACAGUGCAUGAGAAAUAAAACCCAAAGGUUUUCGUAGCAUGAGCACAAAAUAACACGGGUAUAUGUUUUUAGAAAACAUGAAAUGCUUUGACAUGUGGAAUUUCUUUAUUUUUCGUGGUCGGUCCCUGUGCAUUGUUAGAUUAUCGCUUAACUAAUCGUUGAACAAGCUGUCACAAGAUGCACCGUGGUUCUUUUAGUCGUGUGUGGUUAUUUCUUGAUGUUUAAUGUAUUUUUCUUAUGUAGCGUCAUUUUAAUUUUCCAUUAGGUAGCUUAAGUGAAAGUGUUCCACAUCGCCGUAGCGUUUCCCGUAUACAUUUUCUAUGUCUAAUACCUUUGCACUUUAAUUAAAUUUACAGGAGCUAUGUCGUGUAUUUACUUGAGUAACGUAAUUGCCAACGCUUGUCCUGCAGAGCCCGUUAUGAUUCCGUGGUAACAUCGUAUCGAAACAAUGGCGGGAGGUCUUGAGUCCCGUAACUGGCAAUCGUGACUAAGAAAUACAUUUCGGACGUCACGUGGAUGGAUCCCCAAAUAGUCUCCAGAGUUUAUUAAGGCUUUUCAUCGUAAAUUUAAAGCUAAUUAAACUUGAAGAUGUUUUUUAUUAUGUUGGAGACGUCAGGCAGGCUUUUAAUGGCACGGAAUCGAUAGGCGAUAGAUUACAAAUUACACUCUAAGUAAAAUCUGUCAGGAGAUCAGGAGCGGAAUUUAGAAGAAAAUUAAAUAAGGCGCAUAAUUAGUUAUCUGAUCAAUAUAAUUGUUAAAAAGUUUUUUAAUUUUUGUAUGCAUGUAUCUUUGUAUGUACUCUUCAAGUCUGUGUUUAAUGGAAUCUUUUGAGUAAAAUUUAUCAAUUUGGUA
Long non-coding RNA from Manduca sexta (tobacco hornworm), 1465 nucleotides. RefSeq lists it as uncharacterized. The record is from RefSeq and is a predicted model, not a curated record. NCBI's taxonomy places the organism in Eukaryota, Metazoa, Arthropoda, Insecta, Lepidoptera, Sphingidae. The transcript is spliced from 2 exons.